CCCUCUCCGGUGGAGAGCAGUUACCCAGCCAGCUUCCAGAGGAAAAGGCCACAGGUCCCCGACGGCCCUCCAAGAGGCCCCUGGGGAAGGACAGUGCCUGCUGUCCCACAGACCAUGGCCCUGCAUCUCCUGCAGCCGGGCAAUUCCCAGCUCUCACUCCCACGAGUCCUCCUGUGGCUGGAAGAUGUGACCAGGGCACUGUCUGGAGGGCCACCAGACACUUGCCCACUCAUGAACUCUGUCCGGCACCAAUGCCUGAGCUCUGGGACAGCGAUGGGCCAGGACACUGGCCCAUGAACAUCUCCCAGAGCCCUACCGCUGGAGGCAGGCUGCCCGGAGGUCCUCAGUGCUGAGCCAGCAGAGCCAGAGGAUCGAGAGCAGGGUUUCCGGAAGUGGCCACUGUUCCCUUCCUCUUGGCACAAGAUGGCCCAGCCGCCGCCUCCCGGCUCUGCGCCCCUCUCCUUUGUCUGCCGCCCGCCGCCCAGAGCCCUGGCCCAUGCGCCCGCUGCCGGGAACCGCGGGGAA
This is a long non-coding RNA of Myotis davidii, 525 nucleotides long. RefSeq lists it as uncharacterized. Lineage: Eukaryota; Metazoa; Chordata; Mammalia; Chiroptera; Vespertilionidae. The record is from RefSeq and is a predicted model, not a curated record. The transcript has 3 exons.